Molecule: ribosomal RNA, 253 nt
Filed under: uncultured bacterium
Lineage: Bacteria
Description: partial 16S ribosomal RNA
Rfam family: Bacterial small subunit ribosomal RNA
Source: RNAcentral
UACGUAGGGGGCAAGCGUUAUCCGGAUUUACUGGGUGUAAAGGGAGCGUAGACGGCAUGGCAAGCCAGAUGUGAAAUACCGGGGCUCAACCCCGGGACUGCAUUUGGAACUGUUAAGCUGGAGUGUCGGAGAGGCAGGCGGAAUUCCUAGUGUAGCGGUGAAAUGCGUAGAUAUUAGGAGGAACACCAGUGGCGAAGGCGGCCUGCUGGACGAUAACUGGCGUUGAGGCUCGAAAGCGUGGGGAGCAAACAGG